UGGGAUUCAAAAUUCAGUCUAGGUUUCAGCUUCUUCCUGAUAGGUAAGAAUUUAUGGUGUAAGAACCUGCAAGGGUUAAUGAAUGUCUAGUUUCCUACCUGGCAGCACAGUAUGGGUUUUCUUCUCUUAGGGCAUAUUACUUGGUUUCUUUGGGAGGUAGAAAUUGAGACAAAGAGGGUAGCAGAUCUGCUAUGGAUACGGUGUAUGAAAAAUCAAAGUGAGGAAGCAUUCGUGGACAGGGCAGGUUCUGUCCAUGAUAUGUGUAAAUCAGAAGUCUCAGCCCACCAGCAGGGAACUUUAAAUCCAAGACUUCCCAUGAGGAAUUCCUGAGUUUGAUAGAAAUGAUGAGAUUGUAAUACCUCUAUCAUGACCAUUCCUUGGCUCAGAACUGACUGGAAAGGAUGUGCUCUCAUCUCAAAGUUUGAGUAGGAGCCUAAAGGUACAAACGGUAUCUAACAGUAGUGCACUUCACCUUUUAAAGGUAGCCCUCAUUGCUUUCUUUUUAUUUCAUUAUAUAUAUACAUACUGUAGAUGGGUACAAUACCUUUAUUUUAUUUAUUUGUCUUUAUGUGGUGCCGAGGAUCAAACCGAGGACCUGACGCAUGCUGGGCAAUCUCUCUACCCAUGAGCCACAACCUCAGCCCCUCCCUGCUUAUUUUAAAAGGGACAUUUUUUUUUUCUUUUCCUCUUUUCCCUCUCUCUCUCUCCCUAACCUGGGGACUGGGGAAUACCUUGGGGCAAGAUUACUUCUCCCAAAUGGGGAAGUGAAUUUCACCGCACCUCAGGGCGCACCAGGAAUGCAGCCUUUGAAGACCUCCUUUAGAGCUCUCUGCUGUCCCUGAUGGGCAGAACUACAGCCUCUGGGACUGGAUGGAGUUCCCUGUGCUUCACCUUUGUUUGCAAAGCAAUAAAC
Molecule: long non-coding RNA, 913 nt
Filed under: Marmota monax (woodchuck)
Lineage: Eukaryota; Metazoa; Chordata; Mammalia; Rodentia; Sciuridae
Source: RNAcentral